RNAcentral lists this long non-coding RNA (452 nucleotides) under Bactrocera latifrons. Its description in RNAcentral is "uncharacterized LOC108978382, transcript variant X1". The record is from RNAcentral. Lineage: Eukaryota; Metazoa; Arthropoda; Insecta; Diptera; Tephritidae.
UGGAUAUUUCGCCAACUGUGUUGAAAUAGUAUUUGUAUAUAUUUAUUACGUACACAUUUUGCUGCAUUUGACCUUUGAAGCGGUCUUAAUUUUGAAAGUUCAUAAGUAGUUUGCUGAGAUAUGUUUUGAGUUUGUGCUAUGAUGAAUUUUAAAGCAACAGACAACAAUUCAGAAUUUCUUGAAAAUGCCAUACAACAUCUAGACCAAGUCAAGAAUUGCAAGUGUAUUCCCUUUAGUUCACCAACGCGGAGGCUUUUAAGACUCUAAUGGGUAUUAAUGAAUGGUAAAUAGUCAGGGAAUUGCGACCAGUUCGUUGGUGGAAUGGGUGAAAACAGUGAGUGAUUUACCAAUGCCUGAUGUGAUAAGCCACAACUUGAUGAAUAUAUUGAUAAUAUCUUAUACAUAUAUAAAAAUAAAUCGGAAAAUGUGUUGCUAAGCGCAUAACUCAACAA